Molecule: ribosomal RNA, 253 nt
Filed under: uncultured bacterium
Lineage: Bacteria
Description: partial 16S ribosomal RNA
Rfam family: Bacterial small subunit ribosomal RNA
Source: RNAcentral
UACGUAGGGUGCAAGCGUUGUCCGGAAUUAUUGGGCGUAAAGAGCUCGUAGGCGGUCUGUCGCGUCGGCUGUGAAAUCCCGAGGCUCAACCUCGGGUCUGCAGUCGAUACGGGCAAACUAGAGUAUUGCAGGGGAGACUGGAAUUCCUGGUGUAGCGGUGAAAUGCGCAGAUAUCAGGAGGAACACCGGUGGCGAAGGCGGGUCUCUGGGCAAUAACUGACGCUGAGGAGCGAAAGCGUAGGGAGCGAACAGG